AUUGAACGCUGGCGGCAGGCCUAACACAUGCAAGUCGAGCGGAUGAAGGGAGCUUGCUUCUGGAUUCAGCGGCGGACGGGUGAGUAAUGCCUAUGAAUCUGCCUGGUAGUGGGGGAUAACGUCCGGAAACGGGCGCUAAUACCGCAUACGUCCUGAGGGAGAAAGUGGGGGAUCUUCGGACCUCACGCUAUCAGAUGAGCCUAGGUCGGAUUAGCUAGUUGGUGGGGUAAAGGCCUACCAAGGCGACGAUCCGUAACUGGUCUGAGAGGAUGAUCAGUCACACUGGAACUGAGACACGGUCCAGACUCCUACGGGAGGCAGCAGUGGGGAAUAUUGGACAAUGGGCGGAAGCCUGAUCCAGCCAUGCCGCGUGUGUGAAGAAGGUCUUCGGAUUGUAAAGCACUUUAAGUUGGGAGGAAGGGCAGUAAGUUAAUACCUUGCUGUUUUGACGUUACCAACAGAAUAAGCACCGGCUAACUUCGUG
RNAcentral lists this ribosomal RNA (484 nucleotides) under uncultured bacterium. Its description in RNAcentral is "partial 16S ribosomal RNA". It matches the Rfam family "Bacterial small subunit ribosomal RNA", at positions 30 to 507 of the family's 1533-position model. The record is from RNAcentral.